AACGAUAGCUCUUCGAAACUCAUCAAAAUUAUUUACAACUAUGCAACAGAAAAACAUUUCAUAGCAACUUCAUAAAUAAAGUAAUAAACUUUAAACCGACAAAAUCAACAUUAACUCAAAAAACAUAACAACCCUCUCCCCUAUGUUACACAAUCAUAACACUAGAAACCACUAAUGUAUGACAAAAUGAUAAAUAAAGAAACAAAUAGUAGCUCCAACAAGCCACCUU
This 229-nucleotide long non-coding RNA is filed under the name Lathyrus oleraceus (garden pea). RNAcentral's name for it is "Pisum sativum (pea) long non-coding RNA (PSAT_LNC014914)". Lineage: Eukaryota; Viridiplantae; Streptophyta; Magnoliopsida; Fabales; Fabaceae. The record is from RNAcentral.